This 460-nucleotide ribosomal RNA is filed under the name uncultured bacterium. RNAcentral's name for it is "partial 16S ribosomal RNA". It matches the Rfam family "Bacterial small subunit ribosomal RNA", at positions 338 to 795 of the family's 1533-position model. The record is from RNAcentral.
CCUACGGGAGGCAGCAGUGAGGAAUAUUGGUCAAUGGACGAGAGUCUGAACCAGCCAAGUAGCGUGAAGGAUGACUGCCCUAUGGGUUGUAAACUUCUUUUAUAAAGGAAUAAAACGAGGCACGUGUGCCUUUUUGCAUGUACUUUAUGAAUAAGGAUCGGCUAACUCCGUGCCAGCAGCCGCGGUAAUACGGAGGAUCCGAGCGUUCUCCGGAUUUAUUGGUUUUAAAGGGAGCGUAGAUGGGUUGUUAAGUCAGUUGUGAAAGUUUGCGGCUCAACCGUAAAAUUGCAAUUGAUACUGGUAGGCUUGAGUACAGGUGAGGUAAGCGGAAUUCGUGGUGUAGCGGUGAAAGGCUUAGAUAUCACGAAGAACCCCGAGUGCGAAGGCAGCUUACUAAACUGUGACUGACAUUGAUGCUCGAAAGUGUGGGUAUCAAACAGGAUUAGAUACCCUAGUAGUC